Molecule: ribosomal RNA, 96 nt
Filed under: Russula cerolens
Lineage: Eukaryota; Fungi; Basidiomycota; Agaricomycetes; Russulales; Russulaceae
Description: partial 28S ribosomal RNA
Rfam family: Eukaryotic large subunit ribosomal RNA
Source: RNAcentral
GCGGAGGAAAAGAAACUAACAAGGAUUCCCCUAGUAACUGCGAGUGAAGCGGGAAAAGCUCAAAUUUAAAAUCUGGUGGUCUUUGGCCAUCCGAGU